UGGAUCGUCUUCGUACCAGCCACUCGACUACAUUGGCCGUUGUUUGUCGUCACAGCAUGAACGGGCGUGAGAAUAACACGGACACGAUAAACGUGGAAAUUGUGCAAAACGUUUGAUUUUUUGAUAAAGUGUCUAAUUGUUUAUGUUAUUUGUGAAACUAAAUCGGUGUAGGAAUCAAUUUAUUGGAUACUUGCAUGGAAUAUUUGCAGCUGUUGACUGUCCAAAAUGGCUGACUGAUAUACCUGCAUAGGCACAAUAAAUAAUAAUGUAAUAAAGCAGAUGGCGACUGAAUUAUCCAGAGAGGAAGCUACUUUUAGAAUUAUCCAGAAAGGAAGCUCAAGCUAUCAGGCUAUCGCAUUCAUUAUCUAUCCAUGUUUCCGUGUGGCAUGAUGGUUUCUGAGACAAUUAGCUGUGGGAGACUGAAGUCAGUGUGAAGGAUGUUUCAAAGAUGGCGGUCUACAUCUAAGGUGCAGUGGAACGCCAGCAUCAAAAUGCAAAUCUUCAAAAAUGGAAAAAACGCUGGGUGGUUUAUAAAGAAAAACGCUGUGUACAAACUGCAAUCCAAUCUGUGGAAUGUAUCAUUUACGACUGCGCGGAACUGAAUACUUGAAGAGGAAAACAGAGCGACACCGAAAUCCAACUUUUUGAAAAAUAUUGGACAAAAUAUA
This is a long non-coding RNA of Agrilus planipennis (emerald ash borer), 668 nucleotides long. RefSeq lists it as uncharacterized. The transcript has 4 exons. The record is from RefSeq and is a predicted model, not a curated record. Lineage: Eukaryota; Metazoa; Arthropoda; Insecta; Coleoptera; Buprestidae.